This 399-nucleotide ribosomal RNA is filed under the name uncultured bacterium. RNAcentral describes it as "bacterial SSU rRNA". It matches the Rfam family "Bacterial small subunit ribosomal RNA", at positions 39 to 424 of the family's 1533-position model. The record is from RNAcentral.
GGCCGCGGGAAUUCGAUUCAGGCCUAACACAUGCAAGUCGAGCGGAAACGAUGAUAGCUUGCUAUCAGGCGUAAAGCGGCGGACGGGUGAGUAAUACUUAGGAAUCUACCUAGUAGUGGGGGAUAGCUCGGGGAAACUCGAAUUAAUACCGCAUACGACCUACGGGAGAAAGGGGGCAACUUGUUGCUCUCGCUAUUAGAUGAGCCUAAGUCGGAUUAGCUAGAUGGUGGGGUAAAGGCCUACCAUGGCGACGAUCUGUAGCUGGUCUGAGAGGAUGAUCAGCCACACCGGGACUGAGACACGGCCCGGACUCCUACGGGAGGCAGCAGUGGGGAAUAUUGGACAAUGGGGGCAACCCUGAUCCAUCAAGGCCGCGUGUGUGAAGAAGGCCUUUUGGUU